UAGGGUGUGGCUCAGAGGUAAAGUGCUUGUCUAGCAUGCAAGUGGCCCUGGGUUUCAUUCCCAGCAGCAUAU
Molecule: non-coding RNA, 72 nt
Organism: Heterocephalus glaber (naked mole-rat)
Lineage: Eukaryota; Metazoa; Chordata; Mammalia; Rodentia; Bathyergidae
Source: Rfam